This 496-nucleotide ribosomal RNA is filed under the name uncultured bacterium. RNAcentral's name for it is "bacterial SSU rRNA". It matches the Rfam family "Bacterial small subunit ribosomal RNA", at positions 95 to 606 of the family's 1533-position model. The record is from RNAcentral.
GCGGCGGACGGGUGAGUAACGCGUGGGUAAUCCACCUCGUAGUUCGGGAUAACAGGCCGAAAGGCUUGCUAAUACCGGAUGAGUUCAUGCUUAUGCAUAUAGGCAUGAAGAAAGGGCUAGCCCGCUAUGAGAUGAGCCCGCGUCCCAUUAGCUUGUUGGUGGGGUAAUGGCCUACCAAGGCAACGAUGGGUAGCCGGCCUGAGAGGGUGUACGGCCACACUGGGACUGAGACACGGCCCAGACUCCUACGGGGGGCAGCAGUAGGGAAUUUUCGGCAAUGGGCGAAAGCCUGACCGAGCGACGCCGCGUGAGGGACGAAGGCCUUCGGGUUGUAAACCUCUGUCUGGGGGGAUGAGAACGGACGGUACCCCCGGAGGAAGCCCCGGCUAACUACGUGCCAGCAGCCGCGGUAAUACGUAGGGGGCUAGCGUUGUCCGGAAUUACUGGGCGUAAAGGGCGUGUAGGCGGUCGUGCAAGUCGGUUGUGAAAGUCUAGG